This 463-nucleotide ribosomal RNA is filed under the name uncultured bacterium. RNAcentral describes it as "bacterial SSU rRNA". It matches the Rfam family "Bacterial small subunit ribosomal RNA", at positions 331 to 792 of the family's 1533-position model. The record is from RNAcentral.
CCAGACUCCUACGGGAGGCAGCAGUGAGGAAUAUUGGUCAAUGGGCGGGAGCCUGAACCAGCCAAGUCGCGUGAGGGAAGACGGCCCUACGGGUUGUAAACCUCUUUUGUCAGGGAGCAAGGUGCAGGUCGGGACCUGCUGUGAGAGUACCUGAAGAAAAAGCAUCGGCUAACUCCGUGCCAGCAGCCGCGGUAAUACGGAGGAUGCGAGCGUUAUCCGGAUUUAUUGGGUUUAAAGGGUGCGUAGGCGGAUUUUUAAGUCAGCGGUAAAAUGUCCGGGCUCAACCCGGGCCGGCCGUUGAAACUGGGGAUCUUGAGUGGGCGAGAAGUAUGCGGAAUGCGUGGUGUAGCGGUGAAAUGCAUAGAUAUCACGCAGAACUCCGAUUGCGAAGGCAGCAUACCGGCGCCCGACUGACGCUGAGGCACGAAAGUGUGGGUAUCGAACAGGAUUAGAUACCCUAGUA